RNAcentral lists this ribosomal RNA (460 nucleotides) under Digidentis cf. arbutus LMT-2007. RNAcentral's name for it is "partial 16S ribosomal RNA". It matches the Rfam family "Archaeal large subunit ribosomal RNA", at positions 1909 to 2666 of the family's 2987-position model. Lineage: Eukaryota; Metazoa; Mollusca; Gastropoda; Nudibranchia; Chromodorididae. The record is from RNAcentral.
AGCCUUAGGAAAUAAUCUAAGGUUAAACCUGCCCAAUGUAUAGAGUAUUAAUGGCCGCGGUACUUUGACCGUGCUAAGGUAGCGUAAUCAGUUGGCUUUUAAUUGGGGUCAGGAAUGAAUGGAAUCUCGUAUUUUAUCUGUCUCCUAACUAUUUUUUUGAAAUUACCAUAUAGAUGAAAAGGUCUAUAAUUAGAAAAAAGACGAGAAGACCCUUAGAGUUUUACUAAAAAUAAUAAUGAAAUGUUAGUAUAAUUAUUUCGGUUUGGUUGGGGCAACAUAGGAGAAAUAAUUUAUCAAUAUAACCUCCAGGAUUAAAUAUACCGAUUAUUUUAAAUUUGAAAAAACUACCUUAGGGAUAACAGCAUUAUUUAAAAAAUAAGUUUGUGACCUCGAUGUUGGACUGGGAAACUAAAAGGCUAGCCGUUUUUUAGGAUGGUUCUGUUCGAACUAUUAAAUUCCC